GGACAGUUGGGAGAGUUGGUUUAAUCCAGUCGCCUGGAACGCGGCCGUAGGGAAACUUACCGAGGGUUCGAAUCCCUCACUGUCCACCA
This 89-nucleotide transfer RNA is filed under the name Sulfurimonas denitrificans. Its description in RNAcentral is "tRNA-Ser". It matches the Rfam family "tRNA". Rfam says of the family: Transfer RNA (tRNA) molecules are approximately 80 nucleotides in length. Their secondary structure includes four short double-helical elements and three loops (D, anti-codon, and T loops). RNAcentral also lists the same sequence under 4 other names. Lineage: Bacteria; Pseudomonadati; Campylobacterota; Epsilonproteobacteria; Campylobacterales; Sulfurimonadaceae. The record is from RNAcentral.